AAAAUCAUCAUUUGUGUUUUACUGAAGAAACAAAGACACCUACAUCUUGGAUGCCCUGGGGGCUGUGAGAGCUGAAGGAAUUUGCAGUGCCCUGUGGUUCAGAAAAAUCCCCAGGUGUUAAAGUGGUUUCCCGCUGAGAACAUCUGUAUCAUCAAACACUCAGCACAAAUCCCCAGUCUUUGACUUCUAGGGUGUUGUUGGAUAUUGUGCUGAGCUCAGGUUCUAAAAGUGUCAGAAAUCAUAAAUGUUAGGAUCUGAGUAAGAGAUCUGAUCCUGUUUCAAUAUUGGGAAUCAUUUCGGCCUUCUUCUUCUCUUCACUGAGCAUUUACAACAAACCUCUUCACAGAGGUCAUGUCGACAGCCUCGACCAAAACACACAACCUAACUGGAAAGGUAUGUGCAUAGUACGAGAUGCUUAUGGCAGCUUCAGUUCUAACAUAAUCUUGAACAUAACUGUAACACGCAAUCCCAAAUGGAGUUGGUGGUCUUUUCUUUUC
Long non-coding RNA from Megalobrama amblycephala (Wuchang bream), 497 nucleotides. RefSeq lists it as uncharacterized. Lineage: Eukaryota; Metazoa; Chordata; Actinopteri; Cypriniformes; Xenocyprididae. The record is from RefSeq and is a predicted model, not a curated record. The transcript is spliced from 2 exons.